GAUGAACGCUGGCGGCGUGCCUAAUACUUGCAAGUCGAGCGAACGGACGAGAAGCUUGCUUCUCUGAUGUUAGCGGCGGACGGGUGAGUAACACGUGGAUAACCUACCUAUAAGACUGGGAUAACUUCGGGAAACCGGAGCUAAUACCGGAUAAUAUUUUGAACCGCAUGGUUCAAAAGUGAAAGACGGUCUUGCUGUCACUUAUAGAUGGAUCCGCGCUGCAUUAGCUAGUUGGUAAGGUAACGGCUUACCAAGGCAACGAUGCAUAGCCGACCUGAGAGGGUGAUCGGCCACACUGGAACUGAGACACGGUCCAGACUCCUACGGGAGGCAGCAGUAGGGAAUUUUCCGCAAUGGGCGAAAGCCUGACGGAGCAACGCCGCGUGAGUGAUGAAGGUCUUCGGAGCGUAAAACUCUGUUAUUAGGGAAGAACAUAUGUGUAAGUAACUGUGCACAUCUUGACGGUACCUAAUCAGAAAGCCACGGCUAACUACG
RNAcentral lists this ribosomal RNA (495 nucleotides) under uncultured bacterium. RNAcentral's name for it is "partial 16S ribosomal RNA". It matches the Rfam family "Bacterial small subunit ribosomal RNA", at positions 28 to 505 of the family's 1533-position model. The record is from RNAcentral.